GAUGAACGCUAGCGGCAGGCUUAACACAUGCAAGUCGAGGGGUAUUUAUCUUCGGAUAGAGAGACCGGCGCACGGGUGCGUAACGCGUAUGCAAUCUACCUUUUACAGAGGGAUAGACCAGAGAAAUUUGGAUUAAUACCUCAUAGUAUAUAGACUCGGCAUCGAGAUUAUAUUAAAGUUACAACGGUAAAAGAUGAGCAUGCGUCGCAUUAGAUAGUUGGUAGGGUAACGGCCUACCAAGGCUACGAUCGGUAGCUGUUCUGAGAGGAAGAUCCCCCACAGUGGGACUGAGACACGGCCCAAACUCCGACGGGAGGCAGCAGUGGGGAAUAUUGGACAAUGGGCGCAAGCCUGAUCCAGCCAUGCCGCGUGAGUGAUGAAGGCCCUAGGGUUGUAAAGCUCUUUCAGUGGGGACGAUAAUGACGGUACCGACAGAAGAAGCCCCGGCUAACUUCGUG
This 458-nucleotide ribosomal RNA is filed under the name uncultured bacterium. Its description in RNAcentral is "partial 16S ribosomal RNA". It matches the Rfam family "Bacterial small subunit ribosomal RNA", at positions 28 to 507 of the family's 1533-position model. The record is from RNAcentral.